GUGCUCACUUCGGCAGCACAUAUGCUAAAAUUGGAACGAUACAGAGAAGAUUAGUAUGGCCCCUGCGCAAGGAUGACAUACAAAUUUAUGAAGCAUUCCAUAUUUUU
Molecule: small nuclear RNA, 107 nt
Filed under: Spermophilus dauricus (Daurian ground squirrel)
Lineage: Eukaryota; Metazoa; Chordata; Mammalia; Rodentia; Sciuridae
Source: RNAcentral